This is a non-coding RNA of Dermatophagoides farinae (American house dust mite), 978 nucleotides long. Lineage: Eukaryota; Metazoa; Arthropoda; Arachnida; Sarcoptiformes; Pyroglyphidae. The record is from RefSeq and is a predicted model, not a curated record.
UCAUCAUCAGCAUUAUUAUGUAAACAAUCGAUAUAAUCGAUUUUGCAACCACCACCACCACCACCAGCAGUGAAUACUUUUAUAAAUGUCAUCGCUCAUUAGUUCCGUGUAUAAUUUUCAAUGGGUUGUAUUUAAUGAUUGAAUCCAAAAACAACAACAACGACGACAACAAAAUCCCAAUUUAAUCUUGCUAUCAGCUAUCAUUAUCUCGAUGAUGAUCAUCAUCAUCAUCAUCAAGAUUGUUUCUUUUUUCGUUCACAUGGGAAUAAAUCGAGAUUGACAAUAACAACAACAACAACAACAACGACAACGGCAACGACAACGGCCACAACAACCGAUGUUAAUUUGACUGAAACUUUCAUUUAUUCAUGUGCAUUUUCCAUGAUCUUCCAUCUUCACUGAUCAUUGAUCAUAGUGUUUUUUUUUCUUCAAAAUUGUUUCCAAAUUUUGAAUAAAACGCAUUUUUCUGGAAAUUUUGGAUCGAUCCAUCACCACCACCACCACUCCGAAAAAAUAUGAUCGGAAAUAUAAGAUUUACCUGUGAUAAUAAUAAUCAUCAGAUGUUGUGUUUGGAAGCUUUUUUUGUUUGUUUUUUGUUUGUCAACAAUGUUUGUUCAAUGAUUUACGGCAUUCAUGAUUAUAUAACGUAAACUAUACUCUCCAGACGACGACGACGACGACGGUUUUCACAGAUUUUCAUUAUUUGCGGGUGCUAAAACAUAAAAAAACCACUUGAAUUCUCGGAUAUUAUCAAAUUAAUUUUUUACCGGUGCCAGACACAAAUGUUUACACACACACACACACAUUUUGAAUUUGUUGCAUUUCUUCAAUACCGUAACAAAUCAAUUUUCAUUGAUUGAUUGAUUCAAAAACAAACAAACAACGUCAAUAAGAUGUGUGGCCAUAACAAUACAAGGGGAUAAUUGAUAUUGAAACAAAAUCAAUUUGCACAGUAUUUAAAUAUUCGAAUUUUUUUCA